RNAcentral lists this ribosomal RNA (323 nucleotides) under uncultured eukaryote. Its description in RNAcentral is "partial 18S ribosomal RNA". It matches the Rfam family "Eukaryotic small subunit ribosomal RNA", at positions 1470 to 1796 of the family's 1831-position model. The record is from RNAcentral.
CCCUUAGAUGUCCUGGGCUGCACGCGUGCUACAAUGAUACGUGCAACGAGUUAAUCCUGCUCUGAAAGGAGUGGGUAAUCUUAUGAAUGCGUAUCGUGCUUGGGAUUGACCAUUGUAAUUAUUGGUCAUGAACGAGGAAUUCCUAGUAAGCACAAGUCAUCAGCUUGUGCUGAUUACGUCCCUGCCCUUUGUACACACCGCCCGUCGCUCCUACCGAUUGAAUGCUCAGGUGAGCCAUUCGGACUUUCAUCAUGCUGGUUUCCAGUUUUGAUGAAGGAAAGUCUUGCGAACCUUAUCAUUUAGAGGAAGGAGAAGUCGUAACA